GAUGAACGCUGGCGGCGUGCCUAAUACAUGCAAGUCGAGCGAACAGACGAGGCGCUUGCUCCUCUGACGUUAGCGGCGGACGGGUGAGAAACACGUGUAUAACCUCCCUAUAAGUCUGGGAUAACUUCGGGAAACCGGAGCUAAUACCGGAUAAUAUAUUGAACCGCAUGGUUCAAUAGUGAAAGACGGUUUUGCUGUCACUUAUAGAUGGAUCCGCGCCGCUUUAGCUGGUUGUUAAGGUAACGGCUUACCAAGGCAACGAUGCGUAGCCGACCUGAGAGGGUGAUCGGCGGCAUUGGAGCUGAGACACGGACCAGACUCCUAAGGGAGGCAGCAGUAGGGAAUCUGCCGCAAUGGGGGAGAGCUUGACGGAGCAAGGCCGCGUGAGUGGUGAAGGUCUUCGGAGCGUAAAACUCUGUUAUUAGGGAAGAACAAAUGUGGAAGUAACUAUGCACGUAGUGACGGUACCUAAUCAGAAAGCAACGGCUAACUACGUG
This 497-nucleotide ribosomal RNA is filed under the name uncultured bacterium. RNAcentral describes it as "partial 16S ribosomal RNA". It matches the Rfam family "Bacterial small subunit ribosomal RNA", at positions 28 to 507 of the family's 1533-position model. The record is from RNAcentral.